This 199-nucleotide long non-coding RNA is filed under the name Phoenix dactylifera (date palm). Its description in RNAcentral is "long non-coding RNA (PDAC_LNC014170)". The record is from RNAcentral. Lineage: Eukaryota; Viridiplantae; Streptophyta; Magnoliopsida; Arecales; Arecaceae.
GAUACUAGUAUGGUUUGAGGUUUGGUUUGGUAUAUGAGUCAGACCAGUCUAUACUAGCCCAAACUGAGCUGAACCACCCAAUAUCGUUGGAUAUCAACCCAGUUUCGGACGAUACUAUAGUUGGGAGUGAAAAGAGUGUUGGAAGUCUGUCUUGAUAUGGGGCGUGUACCAUACCGACGGUACUGUAUCAAACCAGAAA